GACCUCAUUUAAGGGUUGGCAGUGGAGGGAAGGCUCUCUCUGAAGGUCACUAUAUACCUGAGGCCUUCUGCAGGUCUUCGCUCCCUUAUGGACGCCCCUAUGCCUGCGCAGAGAGCGGCGCUUCUGCCUUUGCACGAAUUUCUCUCCGCCGUGCUCUGAUUUCCCGAAGCAGACGAACGACGGACCGAACCCGGAGACGCCGUCAAACGGCUGUCCCCGUGGGUGUCGAUGGAAACCCGGCUCCGAGCUUCGCGUCGCAGCUCUGUAAAGGAGCCAGGUCUGUGAGCACCAUCUAGUGGCUCUGCUCACACCGACAUCGCUGCACGGCACGAACGAAGGAGCGGGGUCACAAACACGGCGACGUCAGCAGCUGCAGCUUUCCAGCCAGCUGCAAGUACCUUGAACGAGAGCUACCUGGAUCAUUGCUGAAUGCUAAAUUAGCAGUUGAGGACUGACAAAGUGAUGCUUUCCCCAUAUUCAGAUGAGUGACUUAACGGGCUUGCACAGAGCUGACAAUAGUGAGAGAUGCAUGCUGCAGCAGGCUUGUGGCUGGAAACCUUGGAUAAUGGAUGGUUACUUGAGGUCCUUAUCUAAGAUGCUCCAAGGAACUGCCACAAUAAAAAUAAUAAACACCAACAAUAAUAAUUAUUAACAGAAUGCAAGGAGUCUGACUCUAAUCCCAUGCUGGGUUUGUGACUUAAUGAUUCUGCUGACUUUGAAAGAGCUGCUUCUGAUUUAAACUGCUGAAAGUGAAAUCAAAAACAGAUCCUAAAUCGUUGUCCACCUUAUUUGCAAUCAAGCUAUUCUGGGAGGUGGUGUAGCUCCUUGAUGAUGCUGUUAAGACCAAAAAAUAAGUGAAAUUUUUGGAUCAAAGAAGCUUUUUUACUGAAGUCACCCACUUCAAGUCCUGGCUGAAGCAGUAGGCUGAAGAUUUUUAAAGGAACGUGGAGGGUUUUUUUAUGUAACACCUUUUUCCAAGUUGUAGGAAGACUGAGAGUGGUUUCUAACUUGGUUUCGUGUUUCCAUCAAUACUGUUAAAAUCGGAUAUUUUACUGGGUUAGGAUUAUGCUCAAGGGUUGGACAAAGCGUUUAUUUGAACAUCAUCCCUAAAAUCUAUUUUUCAAUUGCCUGUCGAUUGAGUUAAAUGACUUCCUUAAUUGCUGUGUUGAAAGAACUGUUAAUAUUUGUACUUCGGUUACCCUAUUCUCUGUCUGUGGAGGAUGGGCCAGCAGAGGGAAUUCCCAUGCUUCUUCAGGGACAAAGAGAACAUCUGCCCCAGGACCAUGUCCCAGAGGCACUGUCUUAUGACCAGCCUCAGGUUUUACCCCAAGCCCUAUGGGCAGACUGGGACACUGUUGGAACUGAGAUGGGAGCUCUGCCAAAAAGACAAUGACAAAAUAUGGUCACGGGGAAAAAUAAUUACUAACCACAGCACUGCUUGAUGGAGGAACAAAACUCAUCUUAAUGUUUUUCGACUUUUGACCAAGAAA
This 1490-nucleotide long non-coding RNA is filed under the name Gallus gallus (chicken). RNAcentral's name for it is "lncRNA (ENSGALG00010022941.1)". The record is from RNAcentral. Lineage: Eukaryota; Metazoa; Chordata; Aves; Galliformes; Phasianidae.